This 75-nucleotide transfer RNA is filed under the name Pseudomonadota bacterium. Its description in RNAcentral is "tRNA-Val". It matches the Rfam family "tRNA". From Rfam's summary of the family: Transfer RNA (tRNA) molecules are approximately 80 nucleotides in length. Their secondary structure includes four short double-helical elements and three loops (D, anti-codon, and T loops). RNAcentral also lists the same sequence under 2 other names. The record is from RNAcentral. Lineage: Bacteria; Pseudomonadati; Pseudomonadota.
GGGCGAGUAGCUCAACGGGAGAGCACCCCGCUUACACCGGGGAGGUCGUGGGUUCGACUCCUACCUCGCCCACCA